Molecule: ribosomal RNA, 867 nt
Filed under: uncultured archaeon
Lineage: Archaea
Description: bacterial SSU rRNA
Rfam family: Archaeal small subunit ribosomal RNA
Source: RNAcentral
ACUGCUAUCGGGAUAGGACUAGACAUGCUAGUUGAGCGCUUCGAGCCAUGUUGAGAGCGCGGCAUACAGCUCAGUAACACGUGGCUAACCUGCCCUUGGGACGGGAUCACCCCCGGGAAACUGGGGCUAAUCCCCGAUAGGUGAAGAACUCUGGAAUGAGUCUUUGCUCAAAGGGCGCCAGAUCAUGCUUCUGGUGUCGCCCAAGGAUGGGGCCGCGACCGAUCAGGUUGUUGGUGAGGUAAUGGCCCACCAAGCCUAUAACCGGUGCGGGCCGUGAGAGCGGGAGCCCGGAGAUGGGCACUGAGACAAGGGCCCAGGUCCUACGGGGCGCAGCAGUCGCGAAAACUUUGCAAUACACGAAAGUGUGACAGGGUUAUCCCGAGUGCCGACCGCUGAGGUUGGCUUUUACCCAGUCUAGAAAGCUGGGGGAAUAAGGAGAGGGCAAGUCUGGUGUCAGCCGCCGCGGUAGUACCAGCUCUCCGAGUGGUGUGGACGUUUAUUGGGCCUAAAGCAUCCGUAGCUGGCUGAACAAGUCCCCUGUUAAACCCACCGAUUUAAUCGUUGGCGUGCGGGGGAUACUGCUCGGCUAAGGGACGAGAGAGGCAGACGGUAUUCCCGGGGUAGGGGUGAAAUCCUAUAAUCCCAGGAAGACCACCAGUGGCGAAGGCUGUCUGCUAGAACGCGCCCGACGGUGAGGGAUGAAAGCUGGGGGAGCGAACCGGAUUAGAUACCCGGGUAGUCCCAGCUGUAAACGAUGCAAACUAGGUGUUUGGACGGCCACGUGCCGUUCUAGUGCCGCAGGGAAGCCGUUAAGUCUGCCGCCUGGGGAGUACGGUCGCAAGACUGAAACUUAAAGGAAUUGGCGGG